RNAcentral lists this unclassified non-coding RNA (177 nucleotides) under uncultured Cladophialophora. RNAcentral describes it as "sequence contains ITS2". Lineage: Eukaryota; Fungi; Ascomycota; Eurotiomycetes; Chaetothyriales; Herpotrichiellaceae. The record is from RNAcentral.
UCACCCCUCAAGCCCCGUGCUUGGUGUUGGACGGCCGGUCGAGGCACCUCGACCCCUCCUAAAGACAAUGACGGCGGCCUGUGGUUCCCCCGGUACACUGAGCUUUUAACUGAGCACGUAUCGGACAAGGGCGCCCAGGACCCGGUCCUCUCCUUUGACUAGGAAACUUCUUCAAGG